GCGAAUCUCGUGCAGGAUCGUUCCGCGGGUUGCAAUCGCCCACGAUUAAGGUCGACCGAACCGACCGCAAAAUGCAGGCGCGUGCAGUAUUGCAUGCCGCGAGGUAGUAUAGGUCACGUGGUCCCUAUUUAGCCUUAAGCUCGCGCAGACCUCGCGUGCCACGGGCCCGUUUCGAGAAGCGCGAAUCGAGCAAAUGAGCCGAAACGCCACGAAAUCAUGGCUGCAUGACCACCCACCGAACUGUUUGUUUGAGAUUGGAACACCGUGCGCGUGCGAUGUGCGCGAAUUUGUGCGCACAAAACUACACCGGAAGUCUCGCAUUAGGCAAAUGAGCGCGGAUGCCUUAGCCCGGAAAUUGGAGGAAAAACGACCGACGGUUGCAUAAUGGGGCAAAGUAUACGCGUGCUUGGAAGCAAGUAUACGUAGGCGCAUUUAGGGUUCGCCUAAAUGUCAUUUGCUUAUAGGUUGCGGGCAGCCUGGGAAGGACGUUCGUCGAGGCCAGCAUCGUGCGUGGUUCGAGGCUACAAUUGAGCACAAUUCUGGGUGGAGUCGCUGCUGCCCCUUUAAAUUGCCAGCUGGAUGGACGUACAAGUACGCCCCGUGCGCGUAGCACGCGAUCCCACGUCGCGAACGGCCCGGUAUAACAUCUUGUUCUCAUCGCCGCAGGGACAAUUCUGAGGACUGCGCGAUCCGAUUGCUCUGUGCACCGGGAGCUAACAUUAAAUAUUAAACAUUAAAACAUUUCACAGAUUCUUUGGCUUGACAACAUUGGUACGCACCCGACCGAUGUCUCCUCUGUCGCAUAUAUUUUGUACUAAGGCGAUGUUGCUUUCUUCACCCUGACGAAACCUUGCGAUCACUGAGCUCACCCUGUUGGCACACGCGAUUCUAUGAGACACGCAGAGGCGGCGACCAGGAUUGCGGGAAGAAGAGACCGCUGGACAGAAGCCACGAGAACAGCAGCACAGCUAGAGUGAUGAGCAGCAGGAACUCGACGCUGGGCUUGGCUUCGUCGAAGGGUCAGAGUGGCGCACCGUCCGCGUUACCAAUGGGAUCGGCCGGCUGUGAACGGUGAACAGCUGCGCGUGUGUGACAACAAAUACAAGAGGAUGGCACGACGGCCGAUUUAUUCUACUCCGGCCAUGAAACGUUACGACCUGUUUCGUUAACUCUUCGGCCAAUUCCGAAGGCGCUGCUGGAACACCGCCCCCAUCGCUCGUCGGCCCAUAAAGCGGUGAAGGAUCUUUUGUGCUUCUUGAGGACGACGGGCUUGCGCGAACAUCUGCGAUUAUUUUUGCAAUUUCGUCGGCGAACAAGGGCACGAUGACGGGAAGUUGAGAGCCAUGUCCGUUGGGCUGGUCGUGCGGCGCGUUGUGCAAGAUGUGCGCGGUCGUCGGCAACGCGGGGUGGCAUCGUCGACGCGUAUGUUGGCAGCGUGUUUGACGACGACGUGCGCCAUUAUACGCACGUGCCACUCGUGUGUACACGCCACAUUGUAUUUGCUUGAUCUUCAAGAGGGAGGCCACGGAAAGACAGCGGGACUCCUCGGCUGUGUGCAAUUACUCGGUGUUCUGUGCUUUGCAGUGCGAUUACUUGUGUUCUGUGUUUUGGCCAUUCAAGAUACUUGACUUUAUGUGUAUGCGUAUGUGUACUGCAUACUCAUGCGCGAACUUUGCGGUUCACGUGCUGUUGGAUUGUAUUGUUUUUAUACACCUGGUGCUCUAGUGAGUGUCAUAUUUUGGGACAUGAUUAUCUCUUUUUGCGCACGUUUGCUUCCUUUGCUAUGUGACAAGGAGUAUCCGGUGCCGCCAUACAGGCGCUAACCUCUCCUAUUAUUAAUUGCAAUCAUAUAUAUAUAUAUAUAUAUAUAUAUAUAUAUAUAUAUGAAGAACUCCUCGGAGAAUCGCCGAGGCCAUCUUCAGAGACUG
Long non-coding RNA from Dermacentor albipictus, 1928 nucleotides. RefSeq lists it as uncharacterized. NCBI's taxonomy places the organism in Eukaryota, Metazoa, Arthropoda, Arachnida, Ixodida, Ixodidae. The record is from RefSeq and is a predicted model, not a curated record.